AUCUUAUCUAGAGUGGCGGAGGGACUAGGCCCUGCGAAGCCCGGCAACCUUCAAGCAACGUGUGCUUGAGUGGUGCUACAUCCUACAGGUCUGUGGAUCUGGAAGAUAAGAU
Molecule: non-coding RNA, 112 nt
Filed under: Pontibacillus chungwhensis
Lineage: Bacteria; Bacillati; Bacillota; Bacilli; Caryophanales; Bacillaceae
Also listed under: 1 other name
Description: SAM-I sequence
Rfam family: SAM riboswitch aptamer (S box leader)
About the family: The SAM riboswitch is found upstream of a number of genes which code for proteins involved in methionine or cysteine biosynthesis in Gram-positive bacteria. The SAM riboswitch acts at the level of transcription termination control.
Source: RNAcentral